AUUACAUUACAGCUCUACAAUGCACCAGACGGACCCAUCUGGAUUCUUUCGGGGCUCUUAGCCCUAGAAAUAGCAUCAUUUCUUCAAACUGGAUGCUGGGCAAGGCUGGCAGGCCCGGGAGAGCCUGUGGCCAGCCUGGGUCCAGGAAGUGGGCAGCUGCCACAGAGGGGCCUCCGAGGCUAGCUGCCUCCUAACUUCCUCACGGCACACCAUUCUGCCGUCCUGAGUCUUCUCAAGGUUGGAAGGUGCCCAGAUCCAGGGAGAUGGUGCUGGCUCUUUGGUGGCUGUGGAGUGUCCAGACAGAUGAGCUGGAAUCCUUCAGUUUCUCUGCCUCUCCUGUCAAGUUGGGGUAGCACUGCUUGGACUCUUGCCCCGGCUGCAUUGACCAAGCCUUGAUGUUGCCUUGACCAAGCCUUGAUGUUGCCUUCUUUGCCAAACCACUGGCCACGAUGUUGCUGGCACAGCAGCCCAAAGGCAGCUGCUUGUCCAUCUCAGCCUGACCCAGCCUUCAUGCGGGCUCCAUCUCAGCCAUUGUAAAGCAAGCUCCUAGUUCUAGUUCUCCCCCACAAAUUUUAUUGCUAAAUAAACAAUUAAGCUACCCCUUUAAA
RNAcentral lists this long non-coding RNA (608 nucleotides) under Homo sapiens (human). RNAcentral describes it as "uncharacterized LOC107986547, transcript variant 2 (LOC107986547)". The record is from RNAcentral. Lineage: Eukaryota; Metazoa; Chordata; Mammalia; Primates; Hominidae.